Non-coding RNA from Linepithema humile (Argentine ant), 429 nucleotides. NCBI's taxonomy places the organism in Eukaryota, Metazoa, Arthropoda, Insecta, Hymenoptera, Formicidae. The record is from RefSeq and is a predicted model, not a curated record.
AGGCGAAUAAAGCAAUUGUAAUUCUUUACCAAUUAUCCAAUAGCAGUCCCGACAAAGUCUUACGUGAGCAAGUUCUACAAUUUAUAUUACAAAUAAAACAAAGAAAAGUCCAGUUUUCUGGUAUGGGACUUUUUUACUUUGGUAACAAUUUUAUUCGUCAGUUCUAUACAGCAGUCGCUACUGUCGUCGUGAUUAUACUACAGAUGAAUAUAACUUAUACGUAUUCAAUUGUAUUGGAUAAACUGUCUAGAUUUCGAACGAUAUAGACAGAUUCUGGUUGAAUCUACCAGGUUUCCUAUUAAUGCAAUCAGAUUUUAAUAGAUUGUGCAGCCAAACCAGAUUCUGGUUGCAUUAAUAGAAUUAAUAUAAAUUAAUAUGCAUUAAUAUAGAUUUAUUAGGUUGCAUUAAAUCUAGUAGAUUCAACCAGAA